RNAcentral lists this ribosomal RNA (207 nucleotides) under uncultured Pseudomonadota bacterium. RNAcentral's name for it is "uncultured proteobacterium partial 16S ribosomal RNA". It matches the Rfam family "Bacterial small subunit ribosomal RNA", at positions 568 to 774 of the family's 1533-position model. Lineage: Bacteria; Pseudomonadati; Pseudomonadota. The record is from RNAcentral.
CGUGUAGGCGGCUUGAUAAGUCAGAUGUGAAAGCCCCGGGCUUAACCCGGGAAGUGCAUUUGAAACUGUCUUGCUUGAGUAGGGGAGAGGGAAGUGGAAUUCCUGGUGUAGAGGUGAAAUUCGUAGAUAUCAGGAGGAACACCGGUGGCGAAGGCGACUUCCUGGCCCUAUACUGACGCUGAGACGCGAGAGCGUGGGUAGCAAACA